RNAcentral lists this ribosomal RNA (440 nucleotides) under uncultured bacterium. RNAcentral's name for it is "partial 16S ribosomal RNA". It matches the Rfam family "Bacterial small subunit ribosomal RNA", at positions 338 to 795 of the family's 1533-position model. The record is from RNAcentral.
CCUACGGGAGGCAGCAGUGGGGAAUAUUGCACAAUGGGGGAAACCCUGAUGCAGCGACGCCGCGUGAGUGAAGAAGUAUCUCUGUAUGUAAAGCUCUAUCAGCAGGGAAGAAAAUGACGGUACCUGACUAAGAAGCCCCGGCUAACUCCGUGCCAGCAGCCGCGGUCAUACGUAGGGGGCAAGCGUUAUCCGGAUUUACUGGGUGUAAAGGGAGCGUAGACGGCGCUGCAAGUCCGGAGUGAAAGCCCAGGGCUUAACCAUGGGACUGCUCUGGAAACUGUGGAGCUUGAGUGCGGGAGGGGCAGGCGGAAUUCCUGGUGUAGCGGUGAAAUGCGUAGAUAUUAGGCGGAACACCGGCGGCGAAGGCGGCCUGCUGGACCGUAACUGACGUUGAGGCUCGAAAGCGUGGGGAGCAAACAGGAUUAGAUACCCGAGUAGUC